Molecule: long non-coding RNA, 1245 nt
Organism: Astatotilapia calliptera (eastern happy)
Lineage: Eukaryota; Metazoa; Chordata; Actinopteri; Cichliformes; Cichlidae
Source: Ensembl
UCACAACAUACUUCAUACCGUGUACAUUAUAACAUACCAUAAUAGACCCAUUUCUGUAAUAUACUCACAUAUCUAUAUUAUUGCUAAUAUAUAUUGUAAUAUAUCUAUAUCACUAAAGCACUUCUGGAUGGAUGCAAACUGCAUUUCGUUGCCCUGUACCUGUGCAUGUGCAAUGACAAUAAAGUUGAAUUCUAUUCUAUUCUAUUCUAUUCUUCAGUCUGCCUCGAGGCCGGCGUCCUUCUGGGUCGAUCCUCAUAGCCGUUUUUGCUACAGAGUUCUCAUCGCUUCGAAUCACAUGUCCGUACCACCUCAGGCUCAAGCAUCUGCAGUAAAUGAUAUUGUAAACCUAUAAAUUAAUGAACAUACCACAGUCAGUUCAUUCGAAUUUUAAGCUGCAAUCCAACAGUUUGACAGCGAGCCCACACUCGGCACUUGCUCCAGACUAUGUGCAGUCGGUGAGCCGUUUGCUGUGUAGCAACAGAUGCGUCAGUGACAUUUUCCAUUCAGCCCAGUCUUCCUCCUGCAGUCGCACCUCAGAAAAUAAGAACUCGACAGCAGUGGAAUCAAGUUUAUUCUCAAGCAAGUUUAUUCUUAGCUGGCUGCAAAUUUAGUGAUGCCACGCAGCUGCAUUUGUUAAACGACAGUCCAGCUGUGAACAACAGGAUACUCUUCUGUACUGUGAAGAAUUAAGAGGCAAAGGAGGGCCAACCCAGUAUUAGCUAGGUCUAAGUAAAAAAAAAAAAAAAAGCAUGUCAUAUUUUAAUAUGUAUGACCUAACAAAUAUUGAACAUACAACCACAACAUCAGCAGCUAUACCCGAUCAGGUCGGACGUGAAGCUACAGCACAGCUGUGCAAACGCUUUCAAAAUGUACAAUUUACAGCACACAGUACAACUCACUGUAUUUAUAAACCAGGGAAAACGUCUGAAUUCACCAAAGAGGCCUAAAAGUCUUAGAACUGAAGUUUGAGACCACUUUACGUAACCGGCUGAAAUGAAUCGUCGAGCCUUAAAAUGCCAAAAUGUGAUUUGUUAGUCCACAUCGCCCAGCUCAUAUCUCGUGUAAACAAUUAUUCCAAGACAUCAGAGAUAUUAGAUACUCUAUGCGAUUACAACAACCUCCUUUCAUCCCUUCUUCAACGAGCAUUACCGGGUGUUGUCAUCCAGAUUAGCUAUGCUAAUCCACCGGCAUCAUUCUCCAACUUCUUUGCGUUUGAUUUGGAUUUUCAGCCUGUUCCCAACUCUG